RNAcentral lists this ribosomal RNA (429 nucleotides) under Chloroflexota bacterium. RNAcentral describes it as "Chloroflexi bacterium partial 16S ribosomal RNA". It matches the Rfam family "Bacterial small subunit ribosomal RNA", at positions 355 to 776 of the family's 1533-position model. The record is from RNAcentral. Lineage: Bacteria; Bacillati; Chloroflexota.
UGGGGAAUUUUGCACAAUGGGCGCAAGCCUGAUGCAGCCAUGCCGCGUGUAUGAAGAAGGCCUUCGGGUUGUAAAGUACUUUCAGUCGGGAGGAAGGUGUCAAGGUUAAUAACCUUGGCAAUUGACGUUACCGACAGAAGAAGCACCGGCUAACUCCGUGCCAGCAGCCGCGGUAAUACGGAGGGUGCAAGCGUUAAUCGGAAUUACUGGGCGUAAAGCGCACGCAGGCGGUUGAUUGAGUCAGAUGUGAAAUCCCCGGGCUUAACCCGGGAAUUGCAUCUGAUACUGGUCAGCUAGAGUCUUGUAGAGGGGGGUAGAAUUCCAUGUGUAGCGGUGAAAUGCGUAGAGAUGUGGAGGAAUACCGGUGGCGAAGGCGGCCCCCUGGACGAAGACUGACGCUCAGGUGCGAAAGCGUGGGGAGCAAACAGG